UGGGGAAUUUUGGACAAUGGGCGAAAGCCUGAUCCAGCAAUGCCGCGUGUGUGAAGAAGGCCUUCGGGUUGUAAAGCACUUUUGUCCGGAAAGAAAUCCUCUGGGUUAAUACCUCGGGGGGAUGACGGUACCGGAAGAAUAAGCACCGGCUAACUACGUGCCAGCAGCCGCGGUAAUACGUAGGGUGCAAGCGUUAAUCGGAAUUACUGGGCGUAAAGCGUGCGCAGGCGGUUUUGUAAGACGGAUGUGAAAUCCCCGGGCUUAACCUGGGAACUGCAUUCGUGACUGCAAGGCUAGAGUAUGGCAGAGGGGGGUAGAAUUCCACGUGUAGCAGUGAAAUGCGUAGAGAUGUGGAGGAAUACCGAUGGCGAAGGCAGCCCCCUGGGCCAAUACUGACGCUCAUGCACGAAAGCGUGGGGAGCAAACAGGAUUAGAUACCCUGGUAGUCCACGCCCUAAACGAUGUCAACUAGUUGUUGGGGAUUCAUUUCCUUAGUAACGUAGCUAACGCGUGAAGUUGACCGCCUGGGGAGUACGGUCG
RNAcentral lists this ribosomal RNA (540 nucleotides) under uncultured bacterium. RNAcentral describes it as "partial 16S ribosomal RNA". It matches the Rfam family "Bacterial small subunit ribosomal RNA", at positions 355 to 888 of the family's 1533-position model. The record is from RNAcentral.